RNAcentral lists this unclassified non-coding RNA (1004 nucleotides) under Hevea brasiliensis (rubber tree). The record is from RNAcentral. Lineage: Eukaryota; Viridiplantae; Streptophyta; Magnoliopsida; Malpighiales; Euphorbiaceae.
GGACCCCUACUCUUCUCACUCUUUCUACUACUCUCUCGAUCGAGUGAGUAGUUCUACUUCACUGUUCAUCAUUUUUCAGAUCUCUUCAGUUUUCUCUCCGGUUUAGAAGAAAAAAUGAGAGAAAUCCUUCACAUCCAAGGUGGACAAUGUGGAAACCAGAUUGGAUCAAAGUUCUGGGAAGUUGUAUGUGAUGAACAUGGAAUCGAUCCUACUGGACGCUAUGUUGGAACAUCAGAUCUGCAAUUGGAACGUGUCAAUGUGUAUUACAAUGAAGCUUCAUGUGGGAGGUUUGUUCCCCGUGCAGUGCUCAUGGAUCUCGAGCCUGGUACGAUGGACAGUGUGAGAACUGGUCCUUAUGGCCAGAUAUUUAGGCCUGAUAACUUUGUUUUUGGCCAGUCUGGUGCUGGAAACAAUUGGGCUAAGGGUCAUUACACUGAGGGUGCAGAGCUUAUUGAUUCUGUUCUUGAUGUUGUCAGGAAGGAGGCUGAGAAUUGUGACUGUUUACAAGGUUUCCAGGUUGCUCACUCUCUAGGAGGUGGAACUGGAUCAGGAAUGGGAACACUCCUUAUAUCUAAGAUCAGGGAGGAGUACCCAGAUAGAAUGAUGCUUACUUUCUCUGUAUUCCCUUCCCCCAAAGUUUCAGACACAGUUGUUGAGCCCUAUAAUGCUACUCUUUCUGUUCACCAGCUUGUUGAGAAUGCAGAUGAGUGUAUGGUUUUGGAUAAUGAAGCUCUUUAUGACAUUUGCUUCCGAACUCUCAAACUUACUACUCCGAGCUUUGGGGACCUAAACCAUUUGAUUUCUGCCACCAUGAGUGGUGUAACUUGCUGUCUCCGUUUCCCUGGUCAACUCAACUCUGAUCUCCGCAAGCUUGCUGUUAACCUCAUCCCAUUCCCUCGGUUGCAUUUCUUCAUGGUUGGAUUUGCUCCGCUCACUUCUCGUGGGUCGCAGCAAUAUCGAGCAUUGACUGUUCCUGAGCUAACACAGCAGAUGUGGGAUGCAAA